Phoenix dactylifera (date palm) is the source of this 2188-nucleotide non-coding RNA. NCBI's taxonomy places the organism in Eukaryota, Viridiplantae, Streptophyta, Magnoliopsida, Arecales, Arecaceae. The record is from RefSeq and is a predicted model, not a curated record.
CUGUCGCGCGCCGUAUCGAGGGCUCGUACGGUUGGGCUCCCCAUUUCCGUUCCAUUCUCUUUCCACCAUGCCGUUUCCUCUCUCUUGCUCUCCUAAUAAAUUCGAGAGCGGAUAAGGGCAAGAAAAUAAAAGAAUUAACGAUUUAAAGGAUAAAAGUGGAGCAGAAGCCAAGCGAUUCUCUUCGGUUCUUCUUCGAAUCCAUGGAUUUUGGUGCCGUUGGACUUGGGGAAUGCUUGCAUGGAGUCAACAAAAGAACAAGACUAAUGCCUGUUAGCCUCUCUUUCCUUGGGGGUGGUUGAGUAUUAGCUUGAUUGUAUUGCAAUAAUGUUUAGAUCUUGAUUGGCUCCCACUUAAGGAUCAUUGAUGCCAUUGAGUAGUGAGGGUGCUAUCUGGAAAUUUCUUGAGGAAGUGCCUAUUUUACUCUUUGAUAGGCGACUGGAUCAUGUUUGGAGGCUAUGGAGAAUUAGAAAAUAAUGAUCUGGAGUUACAUAAGGGUCCAUUAAACAAAGAUUCCGAGGGCAAUAUAAGGGUAAGGGCUUAGCAACUUCUUCUUUUCUCUUCUACAUGGAUACCCUAUGGUUCUUUCCUGUUCCACUGGUCUUUCUUUAGUUGAGUUGGUCAACAUAUUUCCUAUUUUUUAUUUGGAAAGAGGUUUGUUAGUCAAUGCUUUGGGUCUCUGUCAAAGAUAAUUGAGUUUUUGAUCUCUACUGGGUUGUUAAUGGCUAAUUAGUGAUUAGUAAAAUUGAAUUUCUCUCCUUAUUAGAGAGUUUGAUUGGUGUGUCUCCGAACUCUACAUUGGUGGUAAGAUUGUUAUGAACCUCUAUGGGGUGAAUGCCUUAUCUGAGAAUUUCAAGUAGUUUAAAGGUUAGACUCUUUCUAAUUGUUUUCCAUCGAAAAAUUAGAAGUUGACGUCACCAAUUAUUUGCUGCCUUUCUGAGUCCAUUAACUUUGUGGAAUUUUGCUGCGAUCUGUCAAGGUCUAAAGAACUUUCUGUUUAGAAAUUUUUCCAGGACAACUAUGAAUCAACAUUUUAAAAGUUUUUACUCCUUGUUAAGUGCCUGGCGUUAUAUGAGAUUAUAUUUGUUUUAAACUAUCUGUCAGCGGUAUGCAGUAUGAAAAAUCUAAUACAAUUUUAAUAUAAGUGGAACAGCGACAUAAUUUAUUAUUUUGGUGUAUGUUUUAUCUCACUUUGAACUUUAACCAAUAAUCCUGUAGAAACUAUAUGGUUCUAAUAAGUUUUUGAGAGAAAUACCAUCAUAACUUUUUCUGAGCCUUCAUAUGGACAGACUACAAUGUGGGGGAAAAAGUUAGAUCUAUUGUAUUUUGUUAGCUUAUGUGACAUUGUGUGUCUGGUUCCAUGUGAAAACUGAAAUGGAUGACACGACUGAUUCUCUUUGUUGUAGUGGCUGCCGAUUAUCUCUCUACUUGUUGGAAAAAAUCUUCUUUUUUGUUUUUACUAGAAUUGGGAUGUUUUAAACCUCUAUAGUGUCAUCUUUGUCCCUGCUGCAUUGGCAUUGCAAACCAAAUUUUAACCUAUAUAUGUUUUGCUUUUUUGUUAAAUGAAAUUUAUUGCAAGCAGUUAGUCAAAAUUCUAAGUUAUUUUAAGUUACAGGCAUUCAUGUAUGCAUUGGCCUGCACAAAUGAAAUUUCCCGUUGCCGUUCACCAUCUAGCAUCUCUUUCAGCUUUUACCCUUCAUGUAUAUGUUUGACAUUAUGACAUUAUAUACUUGGUAGUUCAAUGACAUAAUCUAACAUUAAUUUGAUUUUGCAUGUUAGUAUGUGUGAAUGCGGGACAGGGGAUUUAAGGAAGAAGAUAUGAAUAGAAAGGGAAGGGGAGGGAAGAUCUGGAAUCCACCAGAUGUUACACAAUGUUUUCAUUCCAAAAUACUCUGAUUAAAACAGGAGAAAUGGGGGUUCCAUAUAUAGCCCCCAUGCAACUACUCAUGAUCCCACAAGUGAUCAUGUAACUACCCAUCGAUCCAACAACAUCAUGGUUCUCUACAAUAGCUAAACACAGUCAUAACAAGCCAGCAACUGACAUAAAGGACGAAAAAUACAUUAUAAAUAAACGAAAAUACAUAAGAAAAUAACACUAAGGCGGCCAAAGUGCUAUGCCCGCCGGCGACACAUAUACAUAUGCUGGAAUCGGUGGUCCUUGUGUCCCCACCAACUUUUCUCAGCUGAGAAG